CAGUUUCCAUGUCAAUGGAGGUCACAUUGAAUGUUGAUUGCAGGAACUCUCUGUAAGCUUUAUUGUCAACAAACACGUUGGCACUGACCCCUCUUUGCACCCUCACUGCAACAGGAGCCCUUGGUAAGCAAUUUGUUGAAUUCAGACACCUUUCCAACUUCAAUCCCUACAAUCAUGAAAAUUGUUUCUUCAUAACACGAGAUUCAUAUACGUUUGAACCCAACGAUUGAAAUGCUAUCAGAGUACGAUAAAAGUAGUAACUAUAUAUUAGAUUAUUGUUAAGAAUUAAUGCAACUUAGUUGGCAAGUAAUUGAAUUAGUUGAUUUUCAAAAUUAAUGUUAUUGGCUUUUAUUUAGGGGAGUGGCUUUUACGUUUAGAGUUAGUGGCCUAAUGACUUAGCUUAGUUUUCUAUUUACCUACGAAGACUCGUAAUUGUUUGUACUUCGAUGAACCUAUAAAACUCAUAGAAAUUCAGUUGAAGCACUUGAUCCUUUUUGGACAAUAUCUUUUUUGUUUCUAUCUUUCGUUAUCUUCGUUUAUUGUUCUUUGUUAUAAUUAGCUAUACGUAAGGUAAGUUGGGGUAUUUGAGUAGAAAUAGAAGAAGGGGAAAAUGAUUAAGUUAAGAGAAUUGUUUCGAUGGUUUUGGCCUUUUAGACUUGUGUUAAGCAAUUACUUUUGUUAUCUUCUAGCUCUUACCUUUCAUAGUUAAAUACAAUGAUUAUGUUUUGGAUUUUUAUCAUAGCAUGAGAGAUUUUCACAAGUCCUCGUUACAAUGAAAUAUCAUGCAAAUUAGAGAGAGCUUUAAAAUCUUCAAAUGGUAUGGUAGAUAUUGUUAUGCUCCCUCCUCAUCUCUUAUUAUAGAGGCCAAUCCAAGCUAGAUUGAUCUGAUUGAUUACUCCAAAUUUAAUUGACACUAGGAUGAAAGAAUUGGAAACAUGAUUGUUUGAAUUAUUAUUGAGAUGUGAGGGUAGGCAGACAAGUACCUCAAGUUUCUUGGCUAAUGAAAAGUAGUGUUUGUCCACGGGAAUCCAAAACGCAUUCUGUCUGAUUUCAGGAGUUCCAUCUACAGGGAAGAUCUCUUCUGGUUGGUACCAGACAUUGUUCAAAAGGUUGUCUACAGAUUUUUCUGUCUUUGUGUCAACCGUAUUGAAGUUGGAAAAUUUCAGGAAACCGAUCUU
RNAcentral lists this long non-coding RNA (1178 nucleotides) under Cucumis sativus (cucumber). Its description in RNAcentral is "long non-coding RNA (CSAT_LNC000456)". The record is from RNAcentral. Lineage: Eukaryota; Viridiplantae; Streptophyta; Magnoliopsida; Cucurbitales; Cucurbitaceae.